RNAcentral lists this ribosomal RNA (478 nucleotides) under uncultured bacterium. RNAcentral's name for it is "partial 16S ribosomal RNA". It matches the Rfam family "Bacterial small subunit ribosomal RNA", at positions 28 to 523 of the family's 1533-position model. The record is from RNAcentral.
GACGAACGCUGGCGGCGUGCUUAACACGUGCAAGUCGAGCGAUGAAGUUCCUUCGGGAAUGGAUUAGCGGCGGACGGGUGAGUAACACGUGGGUAACCUGCCUCAUAGAGGGGAAUAGCCUUUCGAAAGGAAGAUUAAUACCGCAUAAGAUUGUAGUAUCGCAUGAUACAGCAAUUAAAGGAGUAAUCCGCUAUGAGAUGGACCCGCGUCGCAUUCGCUAGUUGGUGAGGUAACGGCUCACCAAGGCGACGAUGCGUAGCCGACCUGAGAGGGUGAUCGGCCACAGUGGGACUGAGACACGGCCCAGACUCCUACGGGAGGCAGCAGUGGGGAAUAUUGCACAAUGGGGGAAACCCUGAUGCAGCAACGCCGCGUGAGUGAUGACGGUCUUCGGAUUGUAAAACUCUGUCUUCAGGGACGAUAAUGACGGUACCUGAGGAGGAAGCCACGGCUAACUACGUGCCAGCCGCCGCAGUAA